Molecule: transfer RNA, 73 nt
Filed under: Anaerolineae bacterium
Lineage: Bacteria; Bacillati; Chloroflexota; Anaerolineae
Description: tRNA-Arg
Rfam family: tRNA
About the family: Transfer RNA (tRNA) molecules are approximately 80 nucleotides in length. Their secondary structure includes four short double-helical elements and three loops (D, anti-codon, and T loops). Further hydrogen bonds mediate the characteristic L-shaped molecular structure. tRNAs have two regions of fundamental functional importance: the anti-codon, which is responsible for specific mRNA codon recognition, and the 3' end, to which the tRNAs corresponding amino acid is attached (by aminoacyl-tRNA synthetases). tRNAs cope with the degeneracy of the genetic code in two manners: having more than one tRNA (with a specific anti-codon) for a particular amino acid; and 'wobble' base-pairing, i.e. permitting non-standard base-pairing at the 3rd anti-codon position.
Source: RNAcentral
GCCCCCGUAGUUCAGUGGAUAGAACAACGGUCUUCUAAACCGUGUGUCGGGAGUUCGAUUCUCUCCGGGGGCA